UGUAACGCGUGGAUAACCUGCCCUUUAGACCGGGAUAACGCCGGGAAACCGGUGCUAAUACCGGAUACGUUCAGGUGCCUGCAUGGGUAGCUGAAGAAAGGAGUAAUCCGCUAAAGGAUGGGUCCGCGUCCCAUUAGCUAGUUGGUAGGGUAACGGCCUACCAAGGCGACGAUGGGUAGCCGGCCUGAGGGGGCGACCGGCCACACUGGAACUGAGACACGGUCCAGACUCCUACGGGAGGCAGCAGUGGGGAAUCUUCCGCAAUGGGCGCAAGCCUGACGGAGCAACGCCGCGUGAGUGACGAAGGUCUUCGGAUUGUAAAACUCUGUCCAGAGGGAAGAAGGAAGUGACGGUACCUUUGGAGGAAGCCCCGGCUAACUACGUGCCAGCAGCCGCGGUAAAACGUAGGGGGCGAGCGUUGUCCGGAAUUACUGGGCGUAAAGGGCGUGUAGGCGGCUUGGUAAGUCAGUCGUGAAACCUACCGGCUCAACCGGUAGCUGGCGAUUGAAACUGCCGGGCUUGAGUGCAGUAGAGGGGAGUGGAAUUCCCAGUGUAGCGGUGAAAUGCGUAGAUAUUGGGAGGAACACCAGUGGCGAAAGCGGCUCCCUGGCCUGUAACUGACGCUGAGGCGCGAAAGCGUGGGUAGCAAACAGGAUUAGAUACCCUGGUAGUCCACGCCGUAAACGAUGGGUGCUAGGUGUUGGGGGGUAUCGACCCCUCCAGUGCCGCAGUUAACGCAAUAAGCACCCCGCCUGGGGAGUACGGCCGCAAGGCUGAAACUCAAGGAAUUGACGGGGGCCCGCACAAGCGGUGGAGUAUGUGGUUUAAUUCGACGCAACGCGAAGAACCUUACCAGGUCUUGACAUCC
Molecule: ribosomal RNA, 868 nt
Filed under: uncultured Peptococcaceae bacterium
Lineage: Bacteria; Bacillati; Bacillota; Clostridia; Eubacteriales; Peptococcaceae
Description: bacterial SSU rRNA
Rfam family: Bacterial small subunit ribosomal RNA
Source: RNAcentral